This 472-nucleotide ribosomal RNA is filed under the name uncultured bacterium. RNAcentral describes it as "bacterial SSU rRNA". It matches the Rfam family "Bacterial small subunit ribosomal RNA", at positions 335 to 800 of the family's 1533-position model. The record is from RNAcentral.
ACUCCUACGGGAGGCAGCAGUAGGGAAUCUUCCACAAUGGGCGCAAGCCUGAUGGAGCAACACCGCGUGAGUGAAGAAGGGUUUCGGCUCGUAAAGCUCUGUUGUUAAAGAAGAACACGUAUGAGAGUAACUGUUCAUACGUUGACGGUAUUUAACCAGAAGGUCACGGCUAACUACGUGCCAGCAGCCGCGGUAAUACGUAGGUGGCAAGCGUUAUCCGGAUUUAUUGGGCGUAAAGAGAGUGCAGGCGGUUUUCUAAGUCUGAUGUGAAAGCCUUCGGCUUAACCGGAGAAGUGCAUCGGGAACUGGAUAACUUGAGUGCAGAAGAGGGUAGUGGAACUCCAUGUGUAGCGGUGGAAUGCGUAGAUAUAUGGAAGAACACCAGUGGCGAAGGCGGCUACCUGGUCUGCAACUGACGCUGAGACUCGAAAGCAUGGGUAGCGAACAGGAUUAGAUACCCUGGUAGGAUAGC